GAUGAAGAACGCAGCGAAAUGCGAUACUUGGUGUGAAUUGCAGAAUCCCGUGAACCAUCGAGUCUUUGAACGCAAGUUGCGCCCGAAGCCAUCAGGUUGAGGGCACGUCUGCCUGGGCGUCACAUAUCGUUGCUCGAUGCCUAUCGCAUUGCGAUAGGACUUAGGGCGAAUGAUGGCUUCCCGUGAGCGUUGUUGCCUCGCGGUUGGUUGAAAAUCGAGUCCUUGGUAGGGUGUGCCAUGAUAGAUGGUGGUCGAGUUAGCACUAGACCGAUCAUGUGCAUGCUCCCCAAAAUAUGGCCUCUGUGACCCACACGCGUCUUUUGACGCUCAUGACGAGACCUCAGGUCAGGCGGGGCUACCCGCUGAAUUUAAGCAUAUCAAUAAGCGGAGGA
RNAcentral lists this unclassified non-coding RNA (392 nucleotides) under soil metagenome. RNAcentral describes it as "partial contains 5.8S ribosomal RNA, internal transcribed spacer 2, and large subunit ribosomal RNA". The stretch from base 1 to 122 matches the Rfam family "5.8S ribosomal RNA", at positions 35 to 154 of the family's 154-position model. The record is from RNAcentral.